CAAGGGCCAUGCUUUUUCAGUACAGACAGUCGCAAACAAGCACAUGUGUCACUGUCAAAGCCUAGUACACACUUCUGUUGCCGCUUCCGCAAUGAGCGGCUGGACGUUCACGAACGGAAAGGAUGUGAAAAAAACCCUGCUGGUCUCAGAAUUUUACUGAUAGAAGGAAUUUGUUCAAUGCAGGCCGUUUAUCUGCAAUUGAUCGAUGAUCUAAGCUGAUAAAUGUCUCUAUACCUCUGUUUGCCUCAGGAACAGUGUCCAGUGAGUUCAUUUGUUUAUGUUUAAAACAGGGUGUGGCCCCAAGGACAGACAACCUCCAUGGCUUUGCAAAGAUUCAUGCUUCGUGUCUUCCUGCUGCACUUCAAUUCUGACGCAAAUGUCAUUUAAAUGGAAGCGCUUUUCCAUACUUCAAACUUCCUCUUUGCCGGAGGGGGUGUGUGAGAGCUUUAUCGGUGCCAAGACUUUGUCCCUGCGUCUAUUUAUAUCUGCUGCUGUUGAAUGAGUCAGCAGACCGCAAAGUCCAUCAGAGCCGGGCAGUAAAAUCUCCUCAGAACAACACACAGAAGUGCUGCUGAUAACGGGCGCGAGGUUGAAGGUGCACAGAUGUAAUCUUAAAGGACUCCGCCACACCGGUCAAGUCAAACAUUGAUGGAUGGGAUUACAGAUCAACAUGCAGCUGGCUGAGAUACUUACAGCGAGGAAGAGCAUGCAGUACAUGGAAAAAGAUGAGUGGCCGGAGUAGAACGAGAGCCUGCAACAGAGAGACAAAAGCACAGCUCAACACCCGAUGUGUCUUUUUGUCCUGUCUGCCUCCCAUCAACCCCAACAGAUCGCAGCAGUUUGGUUCAGCCUGGUUCUGGGAAGGUUUGGUGUUUAAGUUGCUACGGUGAUGUGCUCUGAUGGGAAGUGAACUGUCCCAACGCUGAAAACUAAGAAACCUGACGUUCGCUAACAGCAAAUCCAGCUUCACAGUACAGCCCUUUGCUUUGUUCUAACUGUGGGAAAGUAAUCAAAUACUUAAUACUACUAUUUUCCUGAGACUUAAAGUGUGUCAGAACAACUGCAGAGUUGUGUACUUACAAAUACAGCUCAUGGUUGUGGCUGCUGAACCACUAUCUACUGCAGGAUAUGGUGCUGAGUGAGUGCUGAGAAUCUAGCUUAUUUAUAAUAUCAAAAGGGGCCAUCUCAACUGAGUCUUACGCGUAUAACUGGAACCUACAUAUUUCUCACAUUGGAGUGACGUUCCUAGGUUUGAUGUGCUUGUUCUCAUUUAUGCUUCAGUAAUACAUGCAAGUGAAUGCUGAGCACAAGCUGAAAGUCGGAACCACAACUCUAAAACGGUUAUUCAGAGGUUGUUCAGUGACAUGCUUGACCUCUGCCCUUUGUGCUUACGCUGUGAACAUGUUACAAAACAAUGGCCUGAAGGUUUUUCCAAUAAUUAGCUCAACAACAAGAAAACCCCAAAACAAACAAAGCUGGUGUGCAUAAAGUUGGAAAAGAGGUGUUCGUUUCAACAUCUGAAAUCAAAAAAAGAAAACGAAUUCAUUCUUAUUUGAACUCAGGCUGCAACCGCUAGUUUCAAAUCUAAACAUCAGAAUAAAAAGAUAAAUCAGAGUCCAUGGUGAUCUGUUUAAAUGGUUUGCUUUUUUCCAAUAAAUGGCCAGCUAGACAUUAUACAACAUAAAGCACUGAAUCAUCACACUUGAGAAGCUAGCCUAGACAUCAUUUUUGCUCAAACUGACAAUCCUGCUUCGAGCUCUGCUUUCCUGGUGCUGGGUCAU
Long non-coding RNA from Pelmatolapia mariae (spotted tilapia), 1781 nucleotides. RefSeq lists it as uncharacterized. The record is from RefSeq and is a predicted model, not a curated record. The transcript has 3 exons. NCBI's taxonomy places the organism in Eukaryota, Metazoa, Chordata, Actinopteri, Cichliformes, Cichlidae.